GGAGACGUGGGUGAGUGGCUCAAACCAGUCCCUUGCUAAGGGUCCGAACCCCAAAAGGGUUCCGAGAGUUCGAAUCUCUCCGUCUCCGCCA
RNAcentral lists this transfer RNA (91 nucleotides) under Bacteriovoracaceae bacterium. RNAcentral's name for it is "tRNA-Ser". It matches the Rfam family "tRNA". Rfam says of the family: Transfer RNA (tRNA) molecules are approximately 80 nucleotides in length. Their secondary structure includes four short double-helical elements and three loops (D, anti-codon, and T loops). The record is from RNAcentral. Lineage: Bacteria; Pseudomonadati; Bdellovibrionota; Bacteriovoracia; Bacteriovoracales; Bacteriovoracaceae.